Molecule: ribosomal RNA, 253 nt
Filed under: uncultured bacterium
Lineage: Bacteria
Description: partial 16S ribosomal RNA
Rfam family: Bacterial small subunit ribosomal RNA
Source: RNAcentral
UACGAAGGGGGCUAGCGUUGCUCGGAAUCACUGGGCGUAAAGGGUGCGUAGGCGGGUUUUUAAGUCAGGGGUGAAAUCCUGGAGCUCAACUCCAGAACUGCCUUUGAUACUGAAGAUCUUGAGUUCGGGAGAGGUGAGUGGAACUGCGAGUGUAGAGGUGAAAUUCGUAGAUAUUCGGAAGAACACCAGUGGCGAAGGCGGCUCACUGGCCCGGUACUGACGCUGAGGUGCGAAAGCGUGGGGAGCAAACAGG